AGUGAACGCUGGCGGUAGGCCUAACACAUGCAAGUCGAACGGCAGCACAGUAAGAGCUUGCUCUUACGGGUGGCGAGUGGCGGACGGGUGAGGAAUACAUCGGAAUCUACUUUUUCGUGGGGGAUAACGUAGGGAAACUUACGCUAAUACCGCAUACGACCUACGGGUGAAAGCAGGGGAUCUUCGGACCUUGCGCGAUUGAAUGAGCCGAUGUCGGAUUAGCUAGUUGGCGGGGUAAAGGCCCACCAAGGCGACGAUCCGUAGCUGGCCUGAGAGGAUGAUCAGCCACACUGGAACUGAGACACGGUCCAGACUCCUACGGGAGGCAGCAGUGGGGAAUAUUGGACAAUGGGCGCAAGCCUGAUCCAGCCAUACCGCGUGGGUGAAGAAGGCCUUCGGGUUGUAAAGCCCUUCUGUUGGGAAAGAAAAGCAGCAGGUUAAUACCCCGCUGUUCUGACGGUACCCAAAGAAUAAGCACCGGCUAACUUCGUG
Molecule: ribosomal RNA, 492 nt
Filed under: uncultured bacterium
Lineage: Bacteria
Description: partial 16S ribosomal RNA
Rfam family: Bacterial small subunit ribosomal RNA
Source: RNAcentral